CUCUGCACCUCUCUGUCUCCGCUCGAUCUCUCUCUACCUCCCUCUACCUGCCUCUCCACUCUCGAACUCAUCACCGACACUCUCCCUCUCUUUGCCAUCUCUGUCUCUCUCAGUCUGUCUCUCCGUUUACAGAUCUAAGACAGCAGAGCGAUGAGAGAUUGCAGCUGAGAUUUCAUCAUCGGACGGCGUUCUUGCUAUCCAAACCUCAUUUCCAUCUAAGGUUCGAGAUUUUUUUGCUGGUUAGCGUUCAAGAGUAAGACGGCUUGUUCGGCUAUCACGGGAGAAAAUAUUCCUGGGAUUGAGGACUCUGAUAAAACUUUUCUGGAAAGCAUUUUCAAUUUAAUGAGGAAGGAAGAGACAUUCUCUGGGCAGGUGAAGUUGAUGGAAUGGGUUCUGCAAAUACAUAAUUCUGUCGUGUUACACUGGUUUUUGACCAAAGGUGGUAUGAUGAUUUUAGCAACAUGGUUGAGCAAAGCCGCUCUUGAAGAACAAACAACUAUUAUUCUUAUCAUUUUUAAGGGAGAUUUGGCAAAUUACCUUCAAAAGAAAGGACGUCUACAGCCUUCUAAAGCUCUUAGACUUGCUCUUGAUAUUGCUAGCCAGCUUGUUUUCUCCAUAUUGCAAAGUGGGACCGCAUGGGACAACUUCCCGACAAAUCAACAAUCAUUGUUUGGCGGUCUGAAACACAAUGAAUGGUGAUUUGAAGUGUGAGCUAAUUUUAACUGCUAAUGUGUGCUACUUCUUCAUGAAUAUAAAAUUGCAGUUAGGUCCUCUUUAAGCUGGAUUGGGCUUGGGCUGACCCUCUGGUUGGAAUUGGUCAGGUCAAGUAUGGUUACCUGAUUUGGCAAUUCUGCUUCUAUCCUUGUGCUUCUCUGUUGGAAUGUAACUCUUUAGAGAUGGAAACCUCUCAUUACAAAUAUCAUGUGGAUGAACUUACCUUGUUCAGGCAAGUAUCUAUUUUCUCUUAUGCAAUGUGUUUCUAAAAUUUAUCAUCAUCACCAGAAAAAGGUAAUAGUGUCUUUUUGCCAUUGUCUAAUCUUUUAUUUUCCCUUGAACAGCUUUUACCCUUCUUUCAGAGCUUGGUAGUUUCAAGUUAAAAUCCAUUCAUUACACUAGUAAUCAUAAUUAAAUUUGAUCCAAACAUGCCCUUAAAUUGUCUUUUAAGAUGUCAUGUUGCAAUAACAAUGUACUCAAAACAAUGGAUUUCUUGACGAGUGGUCCAGAUGAUGGUUCUAAUGCAUAUGUGAUCAUAACAAAAACAAGUACGACAACUCAUCAGGUGGGCCACUCAUUUAUGAAAAAAAAAAAACUGAUUUAGAAUUACAUAGAAAUUGGUCACAUACCCAGCUUGUCUGCAAUUUCUUUUGGUCAAUCACUAUCUUUGGAGUGUUCAGAUUUGAGAAGUGUACAGAAACCUUCACAUGCAUAUAGAUGCAUUUGACAUCUAAGUCAGGAUUUGGCUAAUUGGUAUUCACUUUAUGCUUUCUUUGCAAAGGUACAUCUAUACAUCAGAUUUCUUUCGAGUAGCUUGAGGAAAGGAGAUUUAUAUCAUGCAGAGGCAACUGCAAAUUUAUAGCGCUUAUCAUCCAAGUCCUGUCUUCCAACAAUGUAAACAGAGGCUGAAGUACAGAAGCCUCAGAAGAACCAACUCCUACUACCAACAUCACCCAGCCAACUAGUACAGAAGAUAGACUCUGUUGCAAGUUCUAUUAUUAGUAUUAUUUCCACCUUUUAAGUUCUGAACAUGAAGAGCAUCUUUGUUGUUAUUUGCUGCAAAUUUUUUCAUUAACCAUCCACUUGAGUGUUUGUACACUUCUUUUUUUUUCAACAAAGUUACAGGUGGUGUGCUCCCACCUUUCUGUAAAAAAUAAAAAAUAAAAAUAAAAAUGAAAAUGAAAGAUUUGAGUUAUGGAAAGAGUGGAAGAACUAAAGCCUGUUUUCUUGUAGUGCAAGCAACAAGUCGUAUUGAUUUUCAUAACACUUACUGAUCUUAAAAGGCACGUGCUAGCAUUUAUUUCACAUAGGGCAUCUCUCAUUGCUGAUUUCUAUUGGCAUUUCUAUAGAAUCUAUACUUGAUAUGGGAUUAUAUGUAUCAAGUUCUUGGAAGGAUGUCAAAUAAUGCUAAGUCCAUGGAAAUUUUACAAAGUAAUUUUUAGAGGUUUAUGAUAUCUGUAUCUUUUGCCUAGCUGAAUGCUAACCACCCUUGUCUGUUUCAGUCUCAUUGAUUUCUUUUCCAUUUACUUUUCUUUUCUCAUUAACCCUUGUGCAGAUAAGUUGAAUGUGUAACUAUCUUCGCCUUGUUAUGUUUCAAGGUGAUUUUCACUGCCAACUUUGUUCGUUGACUUGGUUUG
Molecule: RNA transcript, 2351 nt
Organism: Magnolia sinica
Lineage: Eukaryota; Viridiplantae; Streptophyta; Magnoliopsida; Magnoliales; Magnoliaceae
Exons: 7
Source: RefSeq, a predicted model, not a curated record